CAGUAGCUCAGUUGGACAGAGCAGGAGCCUUCUAAGCUCAAGGUCGGGGGUUCAAAUCCCUCCUGGC
This 67-nucleotide transfer RNA is filed under the name marine eukaryotic metagenome. It matches the Rfam family "tRNA", at positions 5 to 66 of the family's 71-position model. From Rfam's summary of the family: Transfer RNA (tRNA) molecules are approximately 80 nucleotides in length. Their secondary structure includes four short double-helical elements and three loops (D, anti-codon, and T loops). The record is from RNAcentral.